This 260-nucleotide signal recognition particle RNA is filed under the name marine eukaryotic metagenome. RNAcentral describes it as "Bacterial large signal recognition particle RNA". It matches the Rfam family "Bacterial large signal recognition particle RNA". Rfam says of the family: The signal recognition particle (SRP) is a universally conserved ribonucleoprotein involved in the co-translational targeting of proteins to membranes. Archaeal SRP consists of a 7S RNA and homologues of the eukaryotic SRP19 and SRP54 proteins. The record is from RNAcentral.
UGUGCUACACGGGGAGCUAGCGGUGCCCUUUACCUGCAAUCCGCUAUAGCAGGGUGGAAUCCCCUCUCUAGGUCUUUGCACAUAUCCUCUACAACUUCAGGUCGGUGUAGAUAACUGGGUCUUGGGCGACGAAGGCCUGCGAACUCCGUCAGAUCCGGAAGGAAGCAGCGGUAAGUAGAAACCUUUGGGUGCUCCGAGGCAACCUGGUUUGAGUCGCCUGUAGUUGCAAGAUAUAUGUAAUAGAUCAAAAGGGGGUGCAC